This is a long non-coding RNA of Phasianus colchicus (ring-necked pheasant), 1186 nucleotides long. RefSeq lists it as uncharacterized. The record is from RefSeq and is a predicted model, not a curated record. Lineage: Eukaryota; Metazoa; Chordata; Aves; Galliformes; Phasianidae.
UGGAGCUCCUUCUCCACCCUCCAAUAGCAUCAGCUGCAGCUUAUCAGCUCUGGGUGCAGCCCAGGCUUCAGCUAACUGAGGGCUUCCUGCUGAUGCUGCGGCAGGAAGCGUUUGCUUUUUAUUUCCACUUUCCUCUGCUGGUGUGGUUGGAUCAGGGCUGGCAGCCUGCAGGCCCUGUGGAGCAGCAGCAGAGCAGGUUCAGCAGGAGCACCUGGAGCCAUCGCUGUGAGCCAACUCACGUGGGCACACCAGCAACUGGUGGUUGAAGCACUGUGGCACUUGGAUGCUCCUUUCCCAGCAUAUGGCAUGAGCACACCCGCAGUGAAAACAAUGCAGGCCCGUCUGGUCUCCAACACAGCGCGUUUUUGCGGGUCCCAAGAGGAGGUGCUAUCCACUACUUAAUUGAGAGUAUUCUGUUUCUCCCUGAGCUACUCUUAAUCUGCUCUCUCAUUUCUGCUGCAAAAUGUUAACAGACCAAAAGGCACACGGGACAGGAGGUACUUGAUCAGUGCAGUUAAAAAAAAAAACAAAAAAAACACCUAUGGCUAAAAUAAACAGUUAAGAGACUGAGCAACACGUUCCAGCCCUACAAAAGACUGCAGUGCCCCUGCCAGAGCUGGAGUGGUGGAUGAUUCAAAUCUGGUCAUUGUUUAAUAUUACACUUUAUCCCUGAAACUUGAUACUACUUAAAAAUACAUAUGUUCAGUGUUAUAGUAACUGUAGCUUAGUCAAACAUAUUCAUGAUCCUUCCUGAAAUACACAAUUCACUCGGUGAAUAAAGCUUGUAAAAGUCGGUAACCACAAAGAUGCAUAGCAAAAAAAGUUUGUACAUGUCAGACACCACUCUGAUGGCAAUUUCCAAAAGGCUAAUUUAAUGGCAAUUGGAUUUUUCCUGCCCUACUGCACCAUUAGCUGACAACCUGCUUCUUCAUCACAUCUGCAAACAGUUCAGUUAGACACUUUUGACAUCUCCCACUUAGAAAAGCUAUUUCCAGGAAGUUAUUAACAAAAAUGGAUUCUUCCUGGUCAAGCUCAGGGUGAAGAGAGCCUUUAGUAAGGGAUGUCAAGGUUGUAGUAAUUGGGUGCCCAGUGUAUAACUCAAUAAAAAGAAAAUCAAUUUUGGAAAAAAAAAAAAACCACCACCACCAACAAAAAACCUAGUAACAGAGCAUUGUACAAAAAAUGU